GGGCUAUACAGUACAGCUGAAGGAUUUAAGCAAGGCAAAUAAGGUAAUAAGAUUACCGUUAAAAAUGAUGCUUGUAGCUGUGCUGUGGAUUGAAGGACUGCUGCUGCUGCUGUUGCUAGGUUGCUUCAGUCGUGUCCGACUUUGUGCGACCCCAUAAAUGGCAGCCCGCCAGGCUCCCCCGUCCCUGGGAUUCUCCAGCUCUUCAAGACCCCAUGGACUGCAGCCUACCAGGCUACUCUGUCCAUGGGAUUUUCCAGGCAAGAGUACUGGAGUGGGGUGCCAUUGCCUUCUCCGAUGGAAGGACUGGAGAGAAGCAAAGGUGCCUGGUGGGCGAUGGUCCAUAUGGUCACGAAGUCAGACAACAGCUGAAGUGACAGCACGCGUGCAUUCCUUUGGAAGAAAUAGCUGUGACAUAGGCCCUUUCAACCACAUGUGUGGAGAGGACUGGAUGCGUGAGCCCGGCGCGAGUGAUCAGCCCAGCACCCGGCUCCUGGGAAUCCCUCGGUCAAUAUUAGCUAUUAUGAUUAGUGGUGGAAACUGCUUUUUAAAGUGAGCCCACACUCGCCGCCUGGAAGGUGAUUGCAUUUCUCCGUCUCCACUGAGUGGCGGGAAACUGGUUGGUCAGGAGCUGGGAAGUCUUGCUCUGAUUUCAGGAUCCCUGUGACUUUCUCUCAAGGCAGAGGAAUGUGUUUCGAGACCCCUUGCAGCCGCUCCUGGAUCCCAGUCCCUCCUCCGCAGUUGAGGAUCUUUCCGCCCAUCCUUUACCAGCUCGCUGAUUCAGGGAAGGGCUGCCAGAUACAGGGAUGAACUUUCCCCCGGAUUCCUUGCUGCCUCCCUUCAGAAGCGAAAUGCCGCAGUGCUAACAAAGUGUCUUUCAAGCGACCAGAGGCCCAGACCGUGGGCUGCUGCCUGCCAGCCAGAGAGCUGUUUCCCACCCCCACCCCGUUCUGGGGGCAACGGCAGGCGGUCCCAGCCGCCCCUCUCUCUCCCCUCCGCUCCGUGUUAUCUAUGGGGAUUGGGAAACGUUAUCAAAACAGGCCCCAUCUGUUCCUGAAGUCGUGGAAGAAUACUCGUGUGAUAAAUUUACAGGGCGCUGGAAGACCCUCUAAUUUUCUGGGAAACGACAAGGCCUCUGUGGCCACCUUGUGUAAAAUUUCCUCUUUUAUCCCCAAGUUACAUGCCCUGGACUAUUUACUUGGAGUCUGAGGGUAUAUUUACCAUUCAGGCAACAUCACAAGGUGUCAAAGAAAUCUACUCAGAGUAGGAUGUGUUG
Bos taurus (domestic cattle) is the source of this 1273-nucleotide long non-coding RNA. The record is from Ensembl. NCBI's taxonomy places the organism in Eukaryota, Metazoa, Chordata, Mammalia, Artiodactyla, Bovidae.